This is a long non-coding RNA of Mytilus californianus (California mussel), 966 nucleotides long. RefSeq lists it as uncharacterized. Lineage: Eukaryota; Metazoa; Mollusca; Bivalvia; Mytilida; Mytilidae. The record is from RefSeq and is a predicted model, not a curated record. The transcript is spliced from 4 exons.
UAUCAACAUUUCUUGAUAUACAAAAACAACCUAUUUCUCUAAUGUGUAAUCAUAUCAGUCAUUUUUAGAUUAGGAAUCACAAGAAUAACUAUUGACAAGUGAUAAUCGGUAUUUCAGUAAUGAUUUAUACACUUCACUAUAUAUUGACAGUUAUAAUAGUUUGUAAUGGACAUUCAGACUUCAAUUUGCAAUACGCCAUUUAUAAAGUCAUUGAAGGAAAGAGAACAACAACGACAUCAAAUGUGGCUGUAAAUGGUAUAUCGAAAUUGGCUUGCUCCGUACUAUGUUCAUCAAGAAAUGACUGUUGCAUGGCUGCUUAUGAUACUGUUAAUUCAGACUGCAUUGUUGAUGUUUCUGGAAGUUGUUGCUUGCCUACAACAUCAACUGUUGGGUGGCAUGUGAUGGCAAAAGAGAAGAUCGGCUGUGAGUGUGGAUGGUUGCAACAUGGAAAUAGUUGUUAUUAUGUUCCGACUGACAAAAUGACAUGGCCAGCUGCUCAGUCAUUCUGUGCCACACGUGGUAGCCAGUUGCUCACAAUCAAUGAUCAAGAUGAGAAUAAUUGGAUUUAUUCUACAGUUGGUGAAUUAUCAUAUGUAUCAGGGACAUUUUUCUGGAUAGCCGGGAUUCGUGAUUCUGGUGGCGAUAUUGUAUGGCAAGACACACAUGCAGCACAAAUCUCAAUUUUAUAUUCUAACUGGAAAUCUGGUGAACCAAAUGGUCCUGCUGGUGUGGCUGACUGUGCAAGUGUGUACAUUAGCUCUGGUAAAUGGGAUGAUAUAAGAUGCGACGGAAUCCAUACUGUUGUGUGUAAAAAACUUGAAAGCUGAAAUCACAGGGUAGUUUGCAAGUUUGACUCGUUAAACAGACACAAUAUAUUCUUUAACAAUUCAUGUAUUGUAUUUUAGAUAUUGGCCUGUUAUGUUUCUUUUCUCGUCACUUGAACAUAUUUAGGGUCAGUGUCCCUGA